GCCAGGCAUGGUGGUGCAUGCCUGUAAUCCCAGCUACUCGGGAGGCUGAGGCAGGAGAAUCACUUGAAUCUGGGAGACGGAGGUUGCAGUGAGCCAAGAUUGUGCCACUGCAGUCCAGCCUAGGUGACAGAGUGAGACUAUGUCUCAA
RNAcentral lists this non-coding RNA (148 nucleotides) under Homo sapiens (human). The record is from Rfam by way of RNAcentral. Lineage: Eukaryota; Metazoa; Chordata; Mammalia; Primates; Hominidae.